This 74-nucleotide transfer RNA is filed under the name Streptococcus danieliae. RNAcentral describes it as "tRNA-Met". It matches the Rfam family "tRNA". Rfam says of the family: Transfer RNA (tRNA) molecules are approximately 80 nucleotides in length. Their secondary structure includes four short double-helical elements and three loops (D, anti-codon, and T loops). RNAcentral also lists the same sequence under 7 other names. The record is from RNAcentral. Lineage: Bacteria; Bacillati; Bacillota; Bacilli; Lactobacillales; Streptococcaceae.
CGCGGGAUGGAGCAGUCUGGUAGCUCGUUGGGCUCAUAACCCAAAGGUCGUAGGUUCAAAUCCUGCUCCCGCAA